AUUGAACGCUGGCGGCAGGCCUAACACAUGCAAGUCGAACGGUAGCACAGAGGAGCUUGCUCCUUGGGUAACGAGUGGCGGACGGGUGAGUAAUGUCUGGGAAACUGCCCGAUGGAGGGGGAUAACUACUGGAAACGGUAGCUAAUACCGCAUAACGUCGCAAGACCAAAGAGGGGGACCUUCGGGCCUCUUGCCAUCGGAUGUGCCCAGAUGGGAUUAGCUAGUAGGUGGGGUAACGGCUCACCUAGGCGACGAUCCCUAGCUGGUCUGAGAGGAUGACCAGCCACACUGGAACUGAGACACGGUCCAGACUCCUACGGGAGGCAGCAGUGGGGAAUAUUGCACAAUGGGCGCAAGCCUGAUGCAGCCAUGCCGCGUGUAUGAAGAAGGCCUUCGGGUUGUAAAGUACUUUCAGCGAGGAGGAAGGCGUUGUGGUUAAUAACCGCAACGAUUGACGUUACUCGCAGAAGAAGCACCGGCUAACUCCGUGCCAGCCGCCGCGGUAAAAGGG
This 511-nucleotide ribosomal RNA is filed under the name uncultured Enterobacterales bacterium. Its description in RNAcentral is "bacterial SSU rRNA". It matches the Rfam family "Bacterial small subunit ribosomal RNA", at positions 30 to 528 of the family's 1533-position model. The record is from RNAcentral. Lineage: Bacteria; Pseudomonadati; Pseudomonadota; Gammaproteobacteria; Enterobacterales.